RNAcentral lists this non-coding RNA (253 nucleotides) under bacterium. RNAcentral's name for it is "partial 16S ribosomal RNA". It matches the Rfam family "Bacterial small subunit ribosomal RNA", at positions 524 to 776 of the family's 1533-position model. The record is from RNAcentral. RNAcentral also lists the same sequence under 4 other names.
UACGGAGGGUGCAAGCGUUAUCCGGAUUUAUUGGGUUUAAAGGGUCCGUAGGCGGAUCUGUAAGUCAGUGGUGAAAUCUCAUAGCUUAACUAUGAAACUGCCAUUGAUACUGCAGGUCUUGAGUAAAGUAGAAGUGGCUGGAAUAAGUAGUGUAGCGGUGAAAUGCAUAGAUAUUACUUAGAACACCAAUUGCGAAGGCAGGUCACUAUGUUUUAACUGACGCUGAUGGACGAAAGCGUGGGGAGCGAACAGG